UACGUAGGGGGCAAGCGUUGUCCGGAUUUAUUGGGCGUAAAGAGCGUGUAGGCGGCCAGGUAGGUCAGCUGUGAAAACUCGAGGCUCAACCUCGAGACGUCGGUUGAAACCACCUGGCUAGAGUCCGGAAGAGGAGAGUGGAAUUCCUGGUGCAGCGGUGAAAUGCGCAGAUAUCAGGAAGAACACCCGUGGCGAAGGCGGCUCUCUGGGACGGUACUGACGCUGAGACGCGAAAGCGUGGGGAGCGAACAGG
Molecule: ribosomal RNA, 253 nt
Filed under: uncultured bacterium
Lineage: Bacteria
Description: partial 16S ribosomal RNA
Rfam family: Bacterial small subunit ribosomal RNA
Source: RNAcentral